This 460-nucleotide ribosomal RNA is filed under the name uncultured bacterium. Its description in RNAcentral is "partial 16S ribosomal RNA". It matches the Rfam family "Bacterial small subunit ribosomal RNA", at positions 338 to 795 of the family's 1533-position model. The record is from RNAcentral.
CCUACGGGCUGCAGCAGUGAGGAAUAUUGGUCAAUGGACGAGAGUCUGAACCAGCCAAGUAGCGUGAAGGAUGACUGCCCUAUGGGUUGUAAACUUCUUUUAUAAAGGAAUAAAACGAGGCACGUGUGCCUUUUUGCAUGUACUUUAUGAAUAAGGAUCGGCUAACUCCGUGCCAGCAGCCGCGGUAAUACGGAGGAUCCGAGCGUUAUCCGGAUUUGUUGGGUUUAAAGGGAGCGUAGAUGGGUUGUUAAGUAAGUUGUGAAAGUUUGCGGCUCAACCGUAAAAUUGCAAUUGAUACUGGCAGUCUUGAGUACAGUUGAGGUAGGCGGAAUUAGUGGGGUAGCGGUGAAAUGCUUAGAUAUCACGAAGAACCCCGAUUGCGAAGGCAGCUUACUAAACUGUGACUGACAUUGAUGCUCGAAAGUGUGGGUAUCAAACCGGAUUAGAUACCCGAGUAGUC